RNAcentral lists this unclassified non-coding RNA (429 nucleotides) under soil metagenome. RNAcentral describes it as "partial contains 5.8S ribosomal RNA, internal transcribed spacer 2, and large subunit ribosomal RNA". The stretch from base 1 to 120 matches the Rfam family "5.8S ribosomal RNA", at positions 35 to 154 of the family's 154-position model. The record is from RNAcentral.
GAUGAAGAACGUAGCGAAAUGCGAUACGUAAUGUGAAUUGCAGAAUUCAGUGAAUCAUCGAAUCUUUGAACGCAUAUUGCGCUCUUUGGUAUUCCGAAGAGCAUGCUUGUUUGAGUAUCAGUAAACACCUCAAAGACUUCAAUUUGUUUUGAAUGGCUUUGGACUUGAGCAAUCCCAACACCAGUCUUUACGAUCGGUGGAGGGUUGCUUGAAAUGCAGGUGCAGCUGGACAUUCUCCUGAGCUAAAAGCAUAUUUAUUUAGUCCCGUCAAACGGAUUAUUACUUUUGCUGCAGCUAACAUAAAGGGAGUUUGACCGUAUUGGCUGACUGGUGCAGGAUUUCACAAGGGUCGGCAACGAUUCUUGUAAAACUCGAUCUCAAAUCAAGUAAGACUACCCGCUGAACUUAAGCAUAUCAAUAAGCGGAGGA